UGGGGAUUAUUGGACAAUGGGCGCAAGCCUGAUCCAGCCAUGCCGCGUGAGUGAUGAAGGCCCUAGGGUUGUAAAGCUCUUUCACCGGUGAAGAUAAUGACGGUAACCGGAGAAGAAGCCCCGGCUAACUUCGUGCCAGCAGCCCCGGUAAUACGAAGGGGGCUAGCGUUGUUCGGAUUUACUGGGCGUAACGCGCACGUAGGCGGACUUUUAAGUCAGGGGUGAGAUCCCGGGGCUCAACCCCGGAACUGCCUUUGAUACUGGAAGUCUUGAGUAUGGUAGAGGGGAGUGGAAUUCCGAGUGUAGAGGUGAAAUUCGUAGAUAUACGGAGGAACACCAGUGGCGAAGGCGGCUCACUGGACCAUUACUGACGCUGAGGUGCGAAAGCGUGGGGAGCAAACAGG
Molecule: ribosomal RNA, 404 nt
Filed under: Actinomycetes bacterium
Lineage: Bacteria; Bacillati; Actinomycetota; Actinomycetes
Description: Actinobacteria bacterium partial 16S ribosomal RNA
Rfam family: Bacterial small subunit ribosomal RNA
Source: RNAcentral